GAUGAACGCUGGCGGCGUGCCUAAUACAUGCAAGUCGAGCGAACAGACGAGGAGCUUGCUCCUCUGACGUUAGCGGCGGACGGGUGAGUAACACGUGGAUAACCUACCUAUAAGACUGGGAUAACUUCGGGAAACCGGAGCUAAUACCGGAUAAUAUAUUGAACCGCAUGGUUCAAUAGUGAAAGACGGUUUUGCUGUCACUUAUAGAUGGAUCCGCGCCGCAUUAGCUAGUUGGUAAGGUAACGGCUUACCAAGGCGACGGUGCGUAGCCGACCUGAGAGGGCGAUCGGCCACACUGGAACUGAGACACGGUCCAGACUCCUACGGGAGGCAGCAGUAGGGAAUCUUCCGCAAUGGGCGAAAGCCUGACGGAGCAACGCCGCGUGAGUGAUGAAGGUCUUCGGAUCGUAAAACUCUGUUAUUAGGGAAGAACAAAUGUGUAAGUAACUAUGCACGUCUUGACGGUACCUAAUCAGAAAGCCACGGCUAACUACGUG
Molecule: ribosomal RNA, 497 nt
Filed under: uncultured bacterium
Lineage: Bacteria
Description: partial 16S ribosomal RNA
Rfam family: Bacterial small subunit ribosomal RNA
Source: RNAcentral